AUACGAAGGGUGCAAGCGUUAAUCGGAAUUACUGGGCGUAAAGCGCGCGUAGGUGGUUCGUUAAGUUGGAUGUGAAAGCCCCGGGCUCAACCUGGGAACUGCAUCCAAAACUGGCGAGCUAGAGUAUAGCAGAGGGUGGUGGAAUUUCCUGUGUAGCGGUGAAAUGCGUAGAUAUAGGAAGGAACACCAGUGGCGAAGGCGACCACCUGGGCUAAUACUGACACUGAGGUGCGAAAGCGUGGGGAGCAAACAGGAUUAGAUCCCCUGGUAGUCCACGCCGUAAACGAUGUCGACUAGCCGUUGGGAUCCUUGAGAUCUUAGUGGCGCAGCUAACGCAUUAAGUCGACCGCCUGGGGAGUACGGCCGCAAGGUUAAAACAGGAC
Molecule: ribosomal RNA, 383 nt
Filed under: uncultured bacterium
Lineage: Bacteria
Description: partial 16S ribosomal RNA
Rfam family: Bacterial small subunit ribosomal RNA
Source: RNAcentral